AAACCAUUAAGGAUGGCUGCAUCCUACUAGGAGAGGUCCUGCUAUCUACCCAUAAAUCACAGGUGCAUCCCACUUAGGAGAGGUCCUGCUAUUGUUUAUGCUGACUCACUGAAAUAGCUCACUGGGACACUUGAUGGAAUUGAGCCAUC
Molecule: long non-coding RNA, 149 nt
Organism: Etheostoma spectabile (orangethroat darter)
Lineage: Eukaryota; Metazoa; Chordata; Actinopteri; Perciformes; Percidae
Exons: 3
Source: RefSeq, a predicted model, not a curated record